Molecule: ribosomal RNA, 1129 nt
Filed under: uncultured bacterium
Lineage: Bacteria
Description: bacterial SSU rRNA
Rfam family: Bacterial small subunit ribosomal RNA (bases 136-1129)
Source: RNAcentral
ACGCACACCGAUAGGGUUUCAGACUAUUAUUUUCAGCUUCCUCUCAGCGGUAAAACGCACAAGAAUUUAAACCCCCUUAAGCGAUUGCUCUAGAUCUUCGAGGCGCGCAGUGAGAGUAUCGCAAUUCCCCUUCGGAUUCCUUAGUGUCAUUCAGAAGGCGGUAUUCGGAGGUUCCCGCUUAUCGAUUUCUGGGUAAAGCGCGCUAGGCGUUAGCAAGUUGUAUUGGAAAGCCUAGCUCCACCUUAGACUGCAUUCAAACUAUUAAGCUAGAGUACGAGAGAGGAGAGUAGAACCUUUGGGUUAGCGGUGAAAUGCGUAGAUUUCAGAAAGGAUUACCAAUGGCGGAAGGCAGCUUUUUGGCUCGUCACUGACGCUGAGGUGCGAAAGGCGUGGGUAGCAAACAGGAUUAGAUACCCUGGUAGUCACGCCGUAAACCGAUGAGAACUAGCCGUUGGGCAGAUUUAACUGUUCAGUGGCACAGCUAACGCAUUAAGUUCUCCGCCUGGAGAGUACGGCCGCAAGGCUAAAACUCAAAUGAAUUGACGGGGGCCCGCGCAAGUGGUGGAGCAUGUGGUUUAAUUCGAUGCAACGCGAAGAACCUUACCAACCCUUGAAAUCUAGCGAAGUUCACAGAGAUGAGAAUGUGCCUUCGGGAACGCUAUGACAGGUGUUGCAUGGCUGUCGUCAGCUCGUGUCGUGAGAUGUAUGGUUAAGUCCAGUAACGAGCGCAACCCCUAUCCUUAUUUGCCAGCGCGUCAAGGCGGGAACUAUAGGGAGACUGCCGGGUGAAACCCGGAGGAAGGCGGGGACGAGGUCAAGUCAUCAUGGCCCUUAUGGGUUGGGCUACACACGUGCUACAAUGGGAAGUACAGAGGGAUGCUAAAGCGCGAGCUGGAGCCAAACCCUUAAAACUUUUCUUAGUCCGGAUUGGAGUCUGCAACUCGACUCCAUGAAGUCGGAAUCACUAGUAAUCGCGAAUCAGAAUGUCGCGGUGAAUACGUUCUCGGGCCUUGUACACACCGCCCGUCACAUCAUGGAAGUGGGUUGCACCAGAAGUGGUUAGUCUAACCUUCGGGAAGACGAUCACCACGGUGUGAUUCAUGACUGGGAUGAAGUCGUAACAAGGUAA